RNAcentral lists this transfer RNA (94 nucleotides) under Bacillus sp. M6-12. RNAcentral describes it as "tRNA-Ser". It matches the Rfam family "tRNA". From Rfam's summary of the family: Transfer RNA (tRNA) molecules are approximately 80 nucleotides in length. Their secondary structure includes four short double-helical elements and three loops (D, anti-codon, and T loops). Lineage: Bacteria; Bacillati; Bacillota; Bacilli; Caryophanales; Bacillaceae. The record is from RNAcentral.
GGAGAGUUAGCCUAAUGGUAAGGCACUGGUCUUGAAAACCAGCGUGUCGAGUUAGUAGCUCGGCUUAGGAGUUCGAGUCUCCUACUCUCCUCCA